CCUACGGGCGGCAGCAGUGGGGAAUAUUGGUCAAUGGGCGCAAGCCUGAACCAGCCAAGUAGCGUGAAGGAUGACUGCCCUACGGGUUGUAAACUUCUUUUAUAAAGGAAUAAAGUGAGGCACGUGUGCCUUAUUGUAUGUACUUUAUGAAUACGGAUCGGCUAACUCCGUGCAAGCAGCCGCGGUAAUACGGAGGAUCCGGGCGUUAUCCGGAUUUAUUGGGUUUAAAGGGAGCGUAGAUGGGUUGUUAAGUCAGUUGUGAAAGUUUGCGGCUCAACCGUAAAAUUGCAAUUGAUACUGGCAGCCUUGAGUACAGUAGAGGUAGGCGGAAUUCGUGGUGUAGCGGUGAAAUGCUUAGAUAUCACGAAGAACUCCGAUUGCGAAGGCAGCCUACUAAACUGCCACUGACAUUGAUGCUCGAAAGUGUGGGUAUCAAACAGGAUUAGAUACCCCGGUAGUC
Molecule: ribosomal RNA, 460 nt
Filed under: uncultured bacterium
Lineage: Bacteria
Description: partial 16S ribosomal RNA
Rfam family: Bacterial small subunit ribosomal RNA
Source: RNAcentral